This 253-nucleotide ribosomal RNA is filed under the name uncultured bacterium. Its description in RNAcentral is "partial 16S ribosomal RNA". It matches the Rfam family "Bacterial small subunit ribosomal RNA", at positions 524 to 776 of the family's 1533-position model. The record is from RNAcentral.
UACGUAGGGGGCAAGCGUUGUCCGGAAUUACUGGGCGUAAAGCGUGUGUAGGCGGCCGCGUAAGUCGGAUGUGAAAGCCCUGGGCUCAACCCAGGAAGUGCACUCGAUACUGCGUGGCUCGAGUACUGGAGAGGUUGGUGGAAUUCUCGGUGUAGAGGUGAAAUUCGUAGAUAUCGAGAGGAACACCGGUGGCGAAGGCGGCCAACUGGACAGAUACUGACGCUGAGACACGAAAGCGUGGGGAGCAAACAGG